Non-coding RNA from Paramuricea clavata, 367 nucleotides. NCBI's taxonomy places the organism in Eukaryota, Metazoa, Cnidaria, Anthozoa, Malacalcyonacea, Plexauridae. The record is from the annotation of a GenBank genome assembly.
AUUAUAAUAUAAUUAUAAAUUACUAAGUCCUGUGUUUUAAAGCCCUGUUUUUCUGAUGGAUGUGAAUAAGUAGUAGAUAAGUUAUGAAUGUUCCAAUGAGGGUACGGGUACUCAGAACAUUUGUAACUCAUCUAAUACUUGUUCCAGUGACAUAGCCAGAGCUGGGAAGGGGGCAAAAUAUUGGACAGAUCGGAAAAUUCUGACCAGUACAAGCAUGUGCAUUAUAUUUUCAUUUCUUGCAAUGGAAUUUUUAAAUCCUAAGUUUUAAAUGUUCUGCAUUCGGUUCUGAUUAAGUAGAGUUGUUAUGUGUUAUGUGUUAGAUGGUUAUUUAAAGUCACCAAAUCGCAUUAAAAUAGAAAUGAAAAUG